CGGAGGAAAAGAAACCAACAGGGAUUGCCCCAGUAACGGCGAGUGAAGCGGCAACAGCUCAAAUUUGAAAUCUGGCCUCGUGCCCGAGUUGUAAUUUGUAGAGGAUGCUUUUGGCGACGCGCCUUCCGAGUUCCCUGGAACGGGACGCCAUAGAGGGUGAGAGCCCCGUCCGGUCGUGCGCCUAGCCUCUGUAAAGCUCCUUCGACGAGUCGAGUAGUUUGGGAAUGCUGCUCUAAAUGGGAGGUAUACGUCUUCUAAAGCUAAAUACCGGCCAGAGACCGAUAGCGCACAAGUAGAGUGAUCGAAAGAUGAAAAGCACUUUGAAAAGAGGGUUAAAUAGUACGUGAAAUUGCUGAAAGGGAAGCGCUUAUGACCAGACUUGGGCGCGGCGGAUCAUCCGGCGUUCUCGCCGGUGCACUCCACCGCCCCAGGCCAGCAUCAGUUCGCGCCGGGGGACAAAGGCUUCGGGAAUGUGGCUCUCUCGGGAGUGUUAUAGCCCGCUGCGUAAUACCCUGGCGCGGACUGAGGUCCGCGCUCUGCAAGGAUGCUGGCGUAAUGGUCAUCAGUGACCCGUCUUGAAACACGGACCAAGGAGUCGUCUUCGUAUGCGAGUGUUCGGGUGUCAAACCCCUACGCGGAAUGAAAGUGAACGUAGGAGAGAGCUUCGGCGCAUCUCCGACCGAUCCUGAUGUUCUCGGAUGGAUUUGAGUAAGAGCAUACGGGGCCGGACCCGAAAGAAGGUGAACUAUGCCUGUGUAGGGUGAAGCCAGAGGAAACUCUGGUGGAGGCUCGCAGCGGUUCUGACGUGCAAAUCGAUCGUCAAACAUGGGCAUGGGGGCGAAAGACUAAUCGAACCUUCUAGUAGCUGGUU
Molecule: ribosomal RNA, 871 nt
Filed under: Emericellopsis glabra
Lineage: Eukaryota; Fungi; Ascomycota; Sordariomycetes; Hypocreales; Bionectriaceae
Description: eukaryotic LSU rRNA
Rfam family: Eukaryotic large subunit ribosomal RNA
Source: RNAcentral